This 739-nucleotide long non-coding RNA is filed under the name Mustela putorius furo (domestic ferret). Its description in RNAcentral is "lncRNA (ENSMPUG00000026627.1)". The record is from RNAcentral. Lineage: Eukaryota; Metazoa; Chordata; Mammalia; Carnivora; Mustelidae.
CAACUGUGUGGGAUAUUCAACGCUUUAUUAUAAAGUGGGCUUUGUUUAUGUGAUCAGCCAACCGGAGGGGAAUGGAAGUGUUCGGAGCACCUGUACGGGAGGCGAGGCUAAGCUCCAACGUUCAGGAGGCAAGUGUAUCAAAGGCGUUUUCAACAUAAUGGUGUUUCCAGCUUACGGUGGAUUUAUCGGACCUGGCCCUGCCGUGGGAGAGGAAGGUGUUGGUGUUUGCGGUCUUCUCUGGUUGCCAUGGCACCUCGGCCAGCCGAGGCGGAGAACUUCCACUCAAAAAAGCGUAACCGAGCCGUAGAAAAGUUAAGGGACUUAGUGAAAGCCUCCUUGGCAGUGCAGCGAGCGGUCCUAAAUUUCAGGAGUCUUGACAUUUAAUCCAGUCGCCUUUUCACCCCUGCCCCACGGGCUCCUUCAUACUUUGAAUUAUCUGUGCACUUAGAACCCACGAGCAGUAAAUUUAAAAAAUCCACUGUUUUCACUUAUAGCAUACAGCAGCUGCAUGUGGGAAUUUUUCAGCGUCUGUCUUGACACGGGCUGGUGCACAGCCAUGCACACACACAUGAACACUCCCUAGAGUUUCUGCCACGUCCUCUUCCUGGGGUGCUCUGCAUGAGACCCGAGGUUUUCAGUGGAAGCGUGUCACCCAUCAGAGAGCCUGGACCCCCUGAGAGCAGGUCUGGUCAUGGCCAGUGGAGCUCGGGAUGACGUGGACUGUGUAUGUAGGACAGCC